UCCUAAACAUUUCAGUAUGUAUUUUCUAAGAACAAGGAUAUUCUCUUAUGUAACAACAGUGAUCACAAUCAGGAAAUUGACAUUGAUUUGAUAUCAACUAAUUGAAAUGCAUAUUUACAUUGAGGUAACAGUCCCCAAAAUGUCCUUCAUUGCAAGAAUUCUUUUUCUGAACAGGAUCCAACUCAGGAUUGAGUUGCCAUGUCUCUUUGGUCACUUUCAACUCGGAACAGUUCCUCAGCCUUUGUCUUUCAAGGUGUUGACUUUUUGGAAGAGUACGGGCCAGCGGUUCUGUACAAUAUUCUUCAAUCUGGGAUUCUCUGCUAUUUCUUCAUGAUUAGAUCCGCACUGUUUGCAAUAGCAAAAUAAUGGCAACAACGAAACCUGCAAACAACUGUCCGAUGAUACAUUGUGACACAGCCACAAAAUGUUCCAUUAUGCAACCAAUAAGAAUGAUAGAGUGUUCUUACUGACCUGUGAAGAUAUUUCCAAUUUUUUAGUGAAAACAGCAGAAUACAACUCAGUAGGUGUAAUAUGAGCCUAUUUUAUAUAAUUAUAUAUAUGCAUAGAAACAUUGAAGAUUUUAUAGAAAAUAUUAACAGUGACCUAUGGUUCCCAAGAUUAUGAGGGACUUUUUUUUUUUUUAAACUUAUCUGUAUGUUCUAAUUUUGACAUGAGCAUCAAGUCAUCUGUGAAUAGUGAAAAUAUUUUUUAAAACUUUAAAAAGUGACAGGACAGCUUCACUUUUAUAUCUGAAGGAUCAUUGUGUGGAAAAGUGAAUAGCAAUUAUUUAUCUGUCCUGUUAUCUACCAUGAACCAGCUAAUUUCAUUUAAAAUCGCUUUAUCUUUAUUUGCUCUAUAAGACAACCCAGUGGUUCGGAACCACGGAGUGAGCGUUGAGGCUGGGAGAGGGGAAGGGUACCCUGCUCAGAGUUACUGCUUACUAGUGGCAAAACUAGAACUCAAACCUAGGUCCUUUCUUCACUGACCUCACUCUGCUCCCGUGUGGCCCUUUUUCAGGGGUCUUCUGCCUGACUCCAUCUGGAUGAUGGCUGGGAAUUUUGACAGUUCCCCAGCUUUUGGUCUCACCACCAUACCUCUGGUGAUUUUCAUAGGUUUUAUAAGUAGGCACACAUCUUAACUUUUACUUUUUCUACUCAACAAGAAUUACGUAUGUGUUAUCUACGUACACAAGUGCAUUUUGCUUUCUGAUGUGUUUUCCGCUUUGAGCUGUCUUUGACCCCAUGGCAUUUUUCACAAGCAAGUUGGCUAGUCGAUGUCAUUGUCCUCUUGACACCCUGGUCUCAGUAUCCUCCUCCUCUCAAUUUUUCCUUCUGCCCUUUUACCUCCCAGGCACCUACAGUUCACUGCGCUCCAUAUCUGAAGGUCCUCUGCCAAGGAAAGACCAGACUGUAAUUUUGCUUAGGUGCCUAUUAAAUCUCUGCUAGUGCGGAGGGGCCAGGUAGACAGUCCAAGUGUAGUCAUAGCCAAUGGAAGGCCUUUUCAGUCUGGGUCCUGUCAUCUAAUGAGUUACUCUUAUCUUUGGGUCAUCUGCCAAAGCACACUGGCAGAGAACAAUGUGAUGGCUCUUGGCUGUCAGGGACAUUAAAUAGAGUCAAGAAGUCAAGUACGAUAAGAACUCAAAAGCACCCACUGGCUUUAGUGAACUUUGCUUGAGCAGUUUUACUGUAGUUGAGAGAAAUGGAGAGGUGUAGACAGAAGCGAGUGCGGUGAGCAAAGGAAUGGGCUGUAAAAAUACAGAAGUGGAGACUAGUGGGGACUUGACUUUCAAAAAAAUUAUAUGAGAAGAGUAGAGAAAUAUGGUAAAAUGAGAGGGAACACAGGAACCGGGGACAGUGCAUUAGUUGAUGGAGAAUCUUCAGUCCUUUAAUCCUCCCAGGUCUAUGCAUCCAGUACUAUUUUCACAUGCAUUUAAAAGGUGAUCUAGGAAGUUCCCUUCGUGGCUCAGCAGUUAACAAUCCCGACUAGGAUCCAUGAAGACAAAGGUUCGAUCCCUGGCCACGCUCGGUGGGUUAAGGAUCUGCCAUUGCCGUGAGCUAUGGUGUAGGUCGAAGACACGGCUCAGGUCCCAUGUUGCUGUGGCUGUGACCUACACCAGAGCUCACGGUAACGCAGGAUCCUUAACCCACUGAGCGAGGCCAGGGAUCAAACCCGGAACCUCAUCUGUUCCUAGUCAGAUUCGUUUCCACUGUGCCACGACGGGAACUCCAGCAACAUGUUUUCUCUAACUCCUCUCUCUGUGCCCCC
Molecule: long non-coding RNA, 2265 nt
Filed under: Sus scrofa (pig)
Lineage: Eukaryota; Metazoa; Chordata; Mammalia; Artiodactyla; Suidae
Description: lncRNA (ENSSSCG00025044854.1, ENSSSCG00045030978.1, ENSSSCG00055006857.1, ENSSSCG00065048604.1)
Source: RNAcentral